RNAcentral lists this unclassified non-coding RNA (334 nucleotides) under soil metagenome. RNAcentral's name for it is "partial contains 5.8S ribosomal RNA, internal transcribed spacer 2, and large subunit ribosomal RNA". The stretch from base 1 to 120 matches the Rfam family "5.8S ribosomal RNA", at positions 35 to 154 of the family's 154-position model. The record is from RNAcentral.
GAUGAAGAACGCAGCGAAAUGCGAUAAGUAGUGUGAAUUGCAGAAUUCAGUGAAUCAUCGAAUCUUUGAACGCACAUUGCGCCCCUUGGUAUUCCAUGGGGCAUGCCUGUUCGAGCGUCAUUUGUACCUUCAAGCUCUGCUUGGUGUUGGGUGUUUGUCUCGCCUCUGCGUGUAGACUCGCCUCAAAACAAUUGGCAGCCGGCGUAUUGAUUUCGGAGCGCAGUACAUCUCGCGCUUUGCACUCAUAACGACGACGUCCAAAAGUACAUUUUUACACUCUUGACCUCGGAUCAGGUAGGGAUACCCGCUGAACUUAAGCAUAUCAAUAAGCGGA